UACGUAGGGGGCAAGCGUUGUCCGGAUUUAUUGGGCGUAAAGAGCGUGUAGGCGGCCAGGUAGGUCUGCUGUGAAAACUCGAGGCUUAACCUCGAGCUGUCGGCGGAAACCAUCUGGCUAGAGUCCGGAAGAGGAGAAUGGAAUUCCCGGUGUAGUGGUGAAAUGCGUAGAUAUCGGGAGGAACACCAGUGGCGAAGGCGGCUUUCUGGCCUGUUCUUGACGCUGAGGCGCGAAAGCUAGGGGAGCGAACGGG
This 253-nucleotide ribosomal RNA is filed under the name uncultured bacterium. RNAcentral describes it as "partial 16S ribosomal RNA". It matches the Rfam family "Bacterial small subunit ribosomal RNA", at positions 524 to 776 of the family's 1533-position model. The record is from RNAcentral.